This 483-nucleotide ribosomal RNA is filed under the name uncultured bacterium. Its description in RNAcentral is "partial 16S ribosomal RNA". It matches the Rfam family "Bacterial small subunit ribosomal RNA", at positions 28 to 507 of the family's 1533-position model. The record is from RNAcentral.
GAUGAACGCUAGCGGCAGGCCUAAUACAUGCAAGCCGAACGGCAAGUUUGAUAGCAAUAUUGGACCUAGAGUGGCGCAAGGGUGCGUAACACGUAUGCAACCUGCCCGCGACAGGAGGAUAGCUCCCCGAAAGGGGAAUUAACCCUCCAUAACACCAUGAGAAGGCAUCUGAUUAUGGUUAAACCGCAAGGGGUCGCGGAUGGGCAUGCGGUUGAUUAGCUAGUUGGCGGGGUAAAGGCCCACCAAGGCGGUGAUCAAUAGGGGUUCUGAGAGGAAGGUCCCCCACACUGGCACUGGGAUACGGGCCAGACUCCUACGGGAGGCAGCAGUAGGGAAUAUUAGACAAUGGUUGCAAGACUGAUCCAGCCAUGCCGCGUGCAGGAAGAAGGCCUUCUGGGUCGUAAACUGCUUUUUCCUGUGGAUAAAAUACCCGUGCGCGGGGAAUUGAAGGUAACAGGGGAAUAAGCCACGGCUAACUACGUG